GAAGAAGCAAUAGCGAAAUCGUAGCCUUACGAACAGGAACAAGGUAUCAAGGCGUUAUGAGCGGAUAAGUUGGCCAAAAGCAACGAAGUCCAAAAGACAAACGUAAACUCAUAGCGUAAACCUUGAAGGUAGACGAGGAAAGAA
Molecule: non-coding RNA, 144 nt
Filed under: pig gut metagenome
Source: RNAcentral